UGGAAGUCCCCAAGCCAGGAGGCAGGGGGCUUGCACUGCUUCUGCAGUAGGUUCUGGCUGAGGGCCUUCCUCCCAUUCACUCUCCUCAGGUCCUGUCAUUUCCUCUCUCCUCUUCUUCCCCCUCCUCCCACUCCCAAGUCCCUGGAAGAAGGAGGAGGGGCAUCGGCUGUCUGGAAGGUGGGGAGAAGUCACUUAUUUUACUGAGCACCUACUAUUUGCGGGGCACUUGCGGGGCCUCCCCCUCCUCUAAGACAGCUCAGACAGCAUGACAGUUCAGUGGGGUGGAGAAAGAAAGGAGGUGGGUGCCCGGGGUCAGAAGUCGGGUGGAGAGGCUGGCCCAUCCAUCUGUCCCCUUCUCCUAAAGAACUGCGGCUGAACCAGCGAGCGGUACCCGGACGACAUGUGGGGGAGGGAGGAAACCCGGCCUGGAAGUGGCGGUGGCGGGUCCCCGGGCAAAGGAAAGGCUCAAUUGUG
This 474-nucleotide long non-coding RNA is filed under the name Homo sapiens (human). Its description in RNAcentral is "non-protein coding lnc-NAV1-5:1". Lineage: Eukaryota; Metazoa; Chordata; Mammalia; Primates; Hominidae. The record is from RNAcentral.